This 591-nucleotide small RNA is filed under the name Pan troglodytes (chimpanzee). Its description in RNAcentral is "retained intron". The record is from RNAcentral. Lineage: Eukaryota; Metazoa; Chordata; Mammalia; Primates; Hominidae.
GGGACCCGAAGGCCCCAAUCUAGUCUUAGUCUACACUCCACAUCCUUGAGGUGCUGCUGGGUGAGGAGAAACACAAAUGGAACAGGAUGAUUAUGCCCAUUUAACAGAGUGGGAAAUGGAGGCCUAAAGAAUGUGGAGGGCCAGAGGUAACGCAUACAUCCUCCACCCCUAAAUUCCCACAGAUAAACCGGCCCCCGGUGAAGCUGACCCUGCUGACGUGCCAAGUGAGGCCAAACCCUGAGGAGAAAAAGUGCUUCGACCUGGUGACCCACAACCGGACAUACCACUUUCAGGCAGAGGACGAGCACGAGUGUGAGGCGUGGGUGUCAGUGUUGCAGAACAGCAAGGACGAAGCCCUGAGCAGCGCCUUCCUCGGGGAGCCCAGCGGUGGCCCGGGGUCUUGGGGGUCCGCCGGCCAUGACGGGGAGCCGCACGACCUCACAAAGCUGCUCAUCGCGGAGGUGAAGAGCAGGCCUGGGAAUAGCCAGUGCUGCGACUGCGGGGCUGCAGACCCCACGUGGCUCAGCACCAACCUGGGCGUGCUCACCUGCAUCCAGUGCUCGGGCGUCCACCGCGAACUGGGCGUGCGCU